This 909-nucleotide ribosomal RNA is filed under the name Clostridioides difficile. Its description in RNAcentral is "partial 23S ribosomal RNA". It matches the Rfam family "Bacterial large subunit ribosomal RNA", at positions 1538 to 2458 of the family's 2925-position model. Lineage: Bacteria; Bacillati; Bacillota; Clostridia; Peptostreptococcales; Peptostreptococcaceae. The record is from RNAcentral.
AAAUCCGCUUUGAUAAUGCUGGGAUGUGAUGGGGAGCGAAAUUUAGUAGCGAAGUAGCUGAUUUCACACUGUCAAGAAAAGUCUCUAUCGAGGUUAAAGGUACCCGUACCGCAAACCGACACAGGUGGGUGAGGAGAGUAUCCUAAGGCCAGCGAGAGAACUGUUGUUAAGGAACUCGGCAAAAUGACCCCGUAACUUAGGGAUAAGGGGUGCCACCAUCAGGUGGCCGCAGAGAAUAGGCCCAAGCGACUGUUUACCAAAAACAUAGGUUUCUGCUAAGUCGCAAGACGAUGUAUAGGAGCUGACGCCUGCCCGGUGCUGGAAGGUUAAGGGGAUCUGUUAGAGCAAUCGAAGCAGUGAACUUAAGCCCCAGUAAACGGCGGCCGUAACUAUAACGGUCCUAAGGUAGCGAAAUUCCUUGUCGGGUAAGUUCCGACCCGCACGAAAGGCGUAACGAUUUGGGCACUGUCUCAACAACAGACUCGGUGAAAUUGUAAUUCCGGUGAAGAUGCCGGAUACCUGCGACAGGACGGAAAGACCCCAUGGAGCUUUACUGUAGCUUGACAUUGGGUCUUGGUACUACAUGUACAGGAUAGGUGGGAGGCUUUGAAACCAGGACGCCAGUUUUGGCGGAGCCAUCCUUGGGAUACCACCCUUGUAGUACUGGGACUCUAACCAUAGGCCAUGAAUCUGGUCUUGGGACACUGUCAGGUGGGCAGUUUGACUGGGGCGGUCGCCUCCCAAAAGGUAACGGAGGCGCUCAAAGGUUCUCUCAGUACGGUCGGAAAUCGUACGUAGAGUGUAAAGGCAAAAGAGAGCUUGAUUGCAAGACAUACAGGUCGAGCAAGGAUGAAAAUCGGACUUAGUGAUCCGGUGGUUCUGCGUGGAAGGGCCAUCGCUCAACGGAUA